AGUGAACGCUGGCGGUAGGCCUAACACAUGCAAGUCGAACGGCAGCACAGUAAGAGCUUGCUCUUACGGGUGGCGAGUGGCGGACGGGUGAGGAAUACAUCGGAAUCUACUUUUUCGUGGGGGAUAACGUAGGGAAACUUACGCUAAUACCGCAUACGACCUACGGGUGAAAGCAGGGGAUCUUCGGACCUUGUGCGAUUGAAUGAGCCGAUGUCGGAUUAGCUAGUUGGCGGGGUAAAGGCCCACCAAGGCGACGAUCCGUAGCUGGUCUGAGAGGAUGAUCAGCCACACUGGAACGGAGACACGGUCCAGAGUCCUACGGGAGGCAGCAGUGGGGAAUAUUGGACAAUGGGCGCAAGCCUGAUCCAGCCAUACCGCGUGGGUGAAGAAGGCCUUCGGGUUGUAAAGCCCUUUUGUUGGGAAAGAAAAGCAGCAGGUUAAUACCCCGCUGUUCUGACGGUACCCAGAGAAUAAGCACCGGCUAACUUCGUG
This 492-nucleotide ribosomal RNA is filed under the name uncultured bacterium. RNAcentral describes it as "partial 16S ribosomal RNA". It matches the Rfam family "Bacterial small subunit ribosomal RNA", at positions 29 to 507 of the family's 1533-position model. The record is from RNAcentral.